UCCCUGUUGGCUCAGUGGUAAAGAAUCUACCUGCAAUGCAGAAGACCCAAGUUCGAUCCCUGGGUUGGGAA
This 71-nucleotide transfer RNA is filed under the name Bos taurus (domestic cattle). It matches the Rfam family "tRNA". From Rfam's summary of the family: Transfer RNA (tRNA) molecules are approximately 80 nucleotides in length. Their secondary structure includes four short double-helical elements and three loops (D, anti-codon, and T loops). Lineage: Eukaryota; Metazoa; Chordata; Mammalia; Artiodactyla; Bovidae. The record is from Rfam by way of RNAcentral. RNAcentral also lists the same sequence under 5 other names.